GAAUUGCGAUAAGUAAUGUGAAUUGCAGAAUUCAGUGAAUCAUCGAAUCUUUGAACGCACCUUGCGCCCUCUGGUAUUCCGGAGGGCAUGCCUGUUCGAGCGUCAUUUCAACCCUCAGAACCCCUUGCGGGAUCUGGCGUUGGGGAUUGGCAUCCAGCCAGCCCCGAAAUCUAGUGGCGGUCCCUCCGCGACCUCCCCUGUGCAGUAGCGAUACCUCGCAGCGGGACAGCGGUCUGACCACGCCGUAAAACCCCCAACUUCUCAAGGUUGACCUCGAAUCAGGUAGGAAUACCCGCUGAACUUAAGC
RNAcentral lists this unclassified non-coding RNA (307 nucleotides) under plant metagenome. RNAcentral's name for it is "partial contains 5.8S ribosomal RNA, internal transcribed spacer 2, and large subunit ribosomal RNA". The stretch from base 1 to 105 matches the Rfam family "5.8S ribosomal RNA", at positions 50 to 154 of the family's 154-position model. The record is from RNAcentral.